Molecule: ribosomal RNA, 288 nt
Filed under: Paenibacillus polymyxa
Lineage: Bacteria; Bacillati; Bacillota; Bacilli; Caryophanales; Paenibacillaceae
Description: 16S rRNA. Bacterial SSU
Rfam family: Bacterial small subunit ribosomal RNA
Source: RNAcentral
CUUUAAUGGAGAGUUUGAUCCUGGCUCAGGACGAACGCUGGCGGCGUGCCUAAUACAUGCAAGUCGAGCGGGGUUAAUUAGAAGCUUGCUUCUAACUAACCUAGCGGCGGACGGGUGAGUAACACGUAGGCAACCUGCCCACAAGACAGGGAUAACUACCGGAAACGGUAGCUAAUACCCGAUACAUCCUUUUCCUGCAUGGGAGAAGGAGGAAAGGCGGAGCAAUCUGUCACUUGUGGAUGGGCCUGCGGCGCAUUAGCUAGUUGGUGGGGUAAAGGCCUACCAAGG